GACGAACGCUGGCGGCGUGCCUAAUACAUGCAAGUAGAACGCUGAAGGAGGAGCUUGCUUCUCCGGAUGAGUUGCGAACGGGUGAGUAACGCGUAGGUAACCUGCCUGGUAGCUGGGGAUAACUAUUGGAAACGAUAGCUAAUACCGCAUAACAGUAGAUGUUGCAUGACAUUUGCUUAAAAGGUGCAACUGCAUCACUACCAGAUGCACCUGCGUUGUAUUAGGUAGUUGGUGUGGUAACGGCUCACCAAGGCGAGGAUACGUAGCAGAAAUGAGAGGGGGAUCGGCCACACUGGGACUGGGACACGGCCCAGACUGCUACGGGAAGCAGCAGUAGGGAAUCUUCGGCAAUGGACGGAAGUCUGACCGAGCAACGCCGCGUGAGUGAAGAAGGUUUUCGGAUCGUAAAGCUCGGUUGUAAGGGAAGAAAGAGUGUGAGAGUGGAAAGUUCACACUGUGACGGUAUCUUACAAGAAAGGAACGGCUAACUACGUG
Molecule: ribosomal RNA, 495 nt
Filed under: uncultured bacterium
Lineage: Bacteria
Description: partial 16S ribosomal RNA
Rfam family: Bacterial small subunit ribosomal RNA
Source: RNAcentral